This 525-nucleotide ribosomal RNA is filed under the name uncultured Clostridium sp. RNAcentral describes it as "bacterial SSU rRNA". It matches the Rfam family "Bacterial small subunit ribosomal RNA", at positions 355 to 896 of the family's 1533-position model. Lineage: Bacteria; Bacillati; Bacillota; Clostridia; Eubacteriales; Clostridiaceae. The record is from RNAcentral.
UGGGGAAUAUUGCACAAUGGGGGAAACCCUGAUGCAGCAACGCCGCGUGAGUGAUGAAGGCCUUCGGGUUGUAAAGCUCUGUCUUUGGGGACGAUAAUGACGGUACCCAAGGAGGAAGCCACGGCUAACUACGUGCCAGCAGCCGCGGUAAUACGUAGGUGGCAAGCGUUGUCCGGAUUUACUGGGCGUAAAGGGAGCGUAGGUGGAUAUUUAAGUGGGAUGUGAAAUCCCCGGGCUUAACCUGGGGGCUGCAUUCCAAACUGGAUAUCUAGAGUGCAGGAGAGGAGAGUGGAAUUCCUAGUGUAGCGGUGAAAUGCGUAGAGAUUAGGAAGAACACCAGUGGCGAAGGCGACUCUCUGGACUGUAACUGACACUGAGGCUCGAAAGCGUGGGGAGCAAACAGGAUUAGAUACCCUGGUAGUCCACGCCGUAAACGAUGGGUACUAGGUGUGGGAGGUAUCGACUCCUUCCGUGCCGCCGUAAACACAAUAAGUACCCCGCCUGGGGAGUACGGUCGCAAGAUUA